UACGGGGGGGGCAAGCGUUGUUCGGAAUUACUGGGCGUAAAGGGCUCGUAGGCGGCCCAUUAAGUCAGACGUGAAAUCCCUCGGCUUAACCGGGGAACUGCGUCUGAUACUGGAUGGCUUGAAUCCGGGAGAGGGAUGCGGAAUUCCAGGUGUAGCGGUGAAAUGCGUAGAUAUCUGGAGGAACACCGGUGGCGAAGGCGGCAUCCUGGACCGGCAUUGACGCUGAGGAGCGAAAGCCAGGGGAGCAAACGGG
This 253-nucleotide ribosomal RNA is filed under the name uncultured bacterium. RNAcentral describes it as "partial 16S ribosomal RNA". It matches the Rfam family "Bacterial small subunit ribosomal RNA", at positions 524 to 776 of the family's 1533-position model. The record is from RNAcentral.